AGUGAACGCUGGCAGUAGGCCUAACACAUGCAAGUCGAACGGCAGCACAGUAAGAGCUUGCUCUUACGGGUGGCGAGUGGCGGACGGGUGAGGAAUACAUCGGAAUCUACUUUUUCGUGGGGGAUAACGUAGGGAAACUUACGCUAAUACCGCAUACGACCUACGGGUGAAAGCAGGGGAUCUUCGGACCUUGCGCGAUUGAAUGAGCCGAUGUCGGAUUAGCUAGUUGGCGGGGUAAAGGCCCACCAAGGCGACGAUCCGUAGCUGGUCUGAGAGGAUGAUCAGCCACACUGGAACUGAGACACGGUCCAGACUCCUACGGGAGGCAGCAGUGGGGAAUAUUGGACAAUGGGCGCAAGCCUGAUCCAGCCAUACCGCGUGGGUGAAGAAGGCCUUCGGGUUGUAAAGCCCUUUUGUUGGGAAAGAAAAGCAGCAGGUUAAUACCCCGCUGUUCUGACGGUACCCAAAGAAUAAGCACCAGCUAACUUCGUG
Molecule: ribosomal RNA, 492 nt
Filed under: uncultured bacterium
Lineage: Bacteria
Description: partial 16S ribosomal RNA
Rfam family: Bacterial small subunit ribosomal RNA
Source: RNAcentral